This 3278-nucleotide unclassified non-coding RNA is filed under the name Hevea brasiliensis (rubber tree). Lineage: Eukaryota; Viridiplantae; Streptophyta; Magnoliopsida; Malpighiales; Euphorbiaceae. The record is from RNAcentral.
AGAGGGUCUAAUGCUUUAAAACCCCAUCAGUUACAUUGGCUAAAACUGGAAGGAAAAAGAAGAAGAAGAAUUGGAACACGAGCUCUAGUGGGUUUAGCUUGGAAGAGCUGUUGCUUCUUCUUGAGUCUUUCACUGGCUUAAUUAUAGCCCGAGAUUUAUUUUCAUUUCAUUAUCUUAAUAAUUUCAAAACCCUUAAACUCAGCUCUCUCAAAUCAUGCCAAUUUCUUUGACAUUUUUUCAUACGUUUUCUUUCCUUUCAUUGCUUCCUUUUUUUCCUUCUCAUUACCAAUGCUCAAACCUUAUCUUACUCUAUCAUUUCUCUUAAUACACUUCUUCUUCUUUCAUAUAUUGCUCUCUUUAAUACCACUUUUAUGGAGUACGGUAGCGUUGGAGGAGGAAGUGGCGGUGGUGGUAGUGCUUCCGGUGGUGACCAUGACCCCUCCGAUCCCCAGAGGAGGAAGAAGCGUUAUCACCGUCACACUGCUAAUCAAAUUCAGAAUCUUGAAGCGAUGUUCAAGGAAUGCCCUCACCCAGAUGAGAAGCAGAGGUUACAGUUAAGCAGAGAGUUGGGUUUGGCACCUCGCCAAAUCAAGUUUUGGUUUCAAAACAGGAGAACCCAGAUGAAGGUGAUGCGUUUUCUUUUUUCUGAAUUAAUUUUUUAUUUAUCACUACAGUAAAAGAUGUGGAUUCCAAUUCCUUUCAGGCCCAACACGAAAGAGCCGAUAACUGUGCACUUCGAGCUGAGAACGAUAAGAUACGAUGUGAAAAUAUAGCCAUUAGAGAGGCUCUCAAGAAUGUUAUCUGCCCCUCCUGCGGUGGUCCUCCUGUUACUGAAGAUUCCUUUUUCGAUGAACACAAGUUACGAAUGGAGAAUGCCCAUUUGAAAGAGGAGCUUGAUAGAGUUUCCAGCAUUGCUGCCAAAUACAUUGGAAGGCCAAUUUCACACCUUCCUCCAGUCCAGCCUAUUCACUUUUCUUCUCUGGAUUUGUCCAUGGGGAGUUUUGGUGGUCCUUCUCUUGAUCUUGAUCUUAUACCAUCUACUUCGAAUUUGCCAUUUCACCCACUUGGUAUUUCAGACAUGGACAAGCCCCUCAUGACUGACAUUGCAGCAAAUGCCAUGGAUGAAUUGCUAAGGCUUUUGCAGACUGAUGAACCUUUGUGGAUUAAGUCACCCACGGAUGGCAGGGAUGUUCUUCAUCUUGAUACUUACCAAACCAUUUUUCCCAGGUCUAUUUCUCGCUUGAAGAAUCCAAAUGUUCGAAUUGAGACAUCCAGAGAUUCAGGUGUUGUCAUCACGAAUAGUUUAGCCUUGGUGGACAUGUUUAUGGAUGCAAACAAGUGGGUCGAGCUAUUUCCUACCAUUGUCUCUGUGGCAAAGACCCUUGAAGUAAUUUCUUCUGGAAUGCUAGGCAGUCACGGUGGUUCUUUGCAACUGAUGUAUGAAGAGUUGCAGGUUCUGUCACCACUGGUGCCAACUCGAGAAUUCUAUAUCCUACGUUAUUGCCAGCAAAUUGAGCAAGGCUUAUGGGCAAUUGUUAAUGUUUCAUAUGAUAUUCCACAAUUUGCUUCUCAAUGUCAAUCUCGUAGGCUUCCUUCUGGAUGCAUGAUUCAGGAUAUGCCUAAUGGAUACUCCAAGGUUGUCAAAUUGCUCCAUUGAGGUUUAUUAUCAGUGGUCAGUUCAGCAUUGUAUUUCCAAAUAUAUUAGAAAUGUAGUGAUUUUUUCACAUUCACAUCUAUUCAUCUCAAAUGCCAAAGCAGGUUACUUGGGUAGAAAAUGUAGAGAUAGAAGACAAAACCCCAACUCAUAGGUUCUACAGAGACCUUGUUCACAGUGGAAUGGCCUUUGGAGCUGAACGGUGGCUCGCUACUCUGCAAAGAUUGUGUGAAAGAUUUGCAUGUCUAACGGUGUCAGGCACUUCAACUCCGGAUCUUGGUGGAGUAAUUCCAUCACCUGAUGGUAAGAGAAGCAUGAUGAAACUUGCUCAAAGAAUGGUGAACAGUUUCUGUGCUAGCAUCAGCACAUCUAACAGCCAUCGAUGGACCACUGUUUCUGGUUCGAAUGAGGUUGGAGUUCGAGUUCAUAAGAGCACAGAUCCUGGGCAACCCAAUGGUGUAGUUCUUAAUGCAGCCACUACCUUUUGGCUUCCAGUUUCUCCACAAAAUGUCUUCAAUUUCUUCAAGGAUGAAAGAACUCGACCUCAGUGGGAUGUUCUCUCUAGUGGCAAUGCAGUGCAAGAGGUUGCUCAUAUUGCUAAUGGCUCACAUCCUGGGAACUGCAUAUCAGUUCUGCGAGCAUUCAACACAGGUCAGAACAAUAUGUUAAUUCUGCAAGAGAGCUGCAUGGAUGAAUCGGGUUCGCUUGUAGUAUACUGCCCAGUUGAUCUUCCAGCGAUCAACAUAGUAAUGAGUGGAGAGGACCCUUCUUACAUUCCCUUGUUGCCAUCAGGAUUCACAAUUUCACCAGAUGGUCGUCCAGAUAAUGGAAAUGGAGCUUCUUCCAGCUCUAGCACACACGCAAGUAUGGGUAGGUCAAGUGGUUCACUAAUAACAGUAUCAUUUCAAAUACUAGUGAGCAGUUUGCCAUCUGCAAAACUAAAUCUUGAAUCAGUAACCACGGUUAAUAACCUUAUCAGCACCACUGUCCAGCAAAUUAAGGCUGCCAUGAACUGCCCUUCUAGUUCCUGUUGAUCUCUGAUUCUGCAGCAAUUGCAAUACAAAUGUUUCUUCUCUUCCCUCUCUACCAUCUUUAACUAUGGAGAUAGAGAGAUAUUUUUAGAGCCUAUAUUUAAGCAAAAGAGGUAUUCAAUGUGAGAAAAGUACUGGAAAGGUUAGUUGAGGCCUUGAAUGCCCUCUCAUCAACAAUAGAAGAUGGUUAUUUACUGCAAGCUGCUUGGGCUGUUUUCUUCUGCCAUACUUCAGUCUACACCCACUAGAUUUAAUUUAAUUUAAUUUAAUAUUUAUUUUAUUUUUGGGUUUUUAUUUUUAAAAUUGGGAAGCAUAGUAUCAUUUAAAGUGGGAUUCAAGAACGCACCAUUCAUCUCUUUCCUGCUGCCGGAGGGUCUUGUUUAGUUUUUGGUUAAUCUCUCUUCGCUGACUCUAUAGAAGAGCAAGAAAAAUGUGUGGUUCGGGUAUUGACUUCCGUGCAUUUACAUUUAUUUAGCAAUCAAUGAUUUUAUUUUAUUUUUAUUUUCACUGCUUCCUGUAAUAAAACUCUCUCUUGAGUGGAUUGAAGUGUGUGAAUGAAGACAGCAGCCAGGAGUUGAAAUUCAUGAGUGCCG